GCUGGUCUUGAAGAGACACACAUAUAUAGACAAUACACAUAGUACACACAAUCUACGCAGAGACACGCCUGAAAAUUGAAGGCCGCGCAGCUUUGCUAUUCUUCUGAACAAUAGAUACACAAUAUAGUGAUACAGUAGAGACGCAUAUACAGAAAAACAAUACAGAGGGAGGGACGCCUGGAAAUUUUGAAAGAAGGGUUGGCGGCUCGGCUUCUUCUGAAAAAAUACAAGAACAUCAACCAUUGGACCUUACUCCAUCUCCCUCACGGCGGAGAACAGACGCACACACACAAACAAAUUUGCAACUGCUUUUGAGUUUGCUUAGUGUAGAGUCACCAUUAAAGGUAGCCUGUUCUAAAUUCGACAGGGUUUCAGGCUCGAGGUCUCGAUUUCUCCUGUGGUUCCUGUUCGAUUUAGCCAUUGUUGAUAAGCAUGGAUUUUGCUGGAAUUUGAUCGAGGAUGACCUCAGUUCGAGCCUCUUUGCUGGGUCGAGCUCAUUUGUAUUUGUUCAGCUCCAUUUUCCAUUGUUGGAUGCUCGAUUUCGUCUGAAAUUUGAACUCGAAAGUUCGUAUCUACAGAUUCUCAAAACCUUAAAGAAUUUUAGCUCAACAGGUUCAACUAAGCUCUUUCUCUUCUCAUUGUUUUGUUUGUGAUGGAUUAUGGUGUUUGUGUUGGUUUGGUUGAUAUUCUUUAUUAAAUUGCUUUAAUUGGUUAUCCGGAUUUCGAAUCUCAUCAUUUAGGCUGGAUCAAUUCCGUUUGUGGAUAAUUCUUGUUUGCAUUUGAUGCUAUGUUAGAGUUGGAUUCUAUAAAUGAAUCAGUAGAGUUUAGGUCUAGAAUUAGCUGCACGCUCGAAAGAGAUAUGUGUUUGGAAGUGAUAAAUCAGAACUGAAGCAUUGAGGUUAUGGUUAACUGUUUGAGUGACCAACUCGCGUGUUGAAUGCUUAAUUUUCUUGAAAAUAAGUAUCGAGACUAUUAGUUAUCACUAAGGUGGAUGUUCUAAUCAAACUUUGAUCUAUUGUGAGUUCUUUAAAUCGGCUUGGUACACAUGUUGAGUUUUUAGGAUAAUUGAAUAUAACUAGGUUCCUCCUUGUUUAUUAACGGAAGAUGUUUGUGAGCUAGUUAAUGUACUAAUCUGUGCUUUCGAUUUCUCAUGAAUUUUACUGAAUUUCAUUGUUUGGCGUGUUUGACUGAAGCUCGUCCAGUUAUGAGAUUUUGACUCAUCUUCGGUGAUUUCUCGUGAAUUUUACUGAAUUUCAUUGUUUGGCGUGUUUAACUCCAGUUAUGAGAUUCCGAAUCAUUUCCAGCUUGUAUUUGAUGCUUUUGAACUGUUCUCUUUGCUUUCAAUUAGAGAUGUUGUUAUUUGUUUGAUCAUGUUGGUUUUAGCAGCAUUUUCUUUAGUUUGAAACUGGUUGGGAACUACUUGAAUAUUUGAGUGAAAAGCCAUGUAUUGAAGAGCUAAUUAUCUUUAGUUAGAGCCUGUUUGUUAUUCUUAUAUAUAAUGUGAUCAUGCCUAAUAUUGCUGCUGAUUAGGAAGGAUUUGAAGCAGCAGUUUGCUUUGUUCUUCUGUAUAUUAAAUCCUGAGGUACCCCAAAAGUUAAUGUUAUUUGAUUUUGCUAUUUAUCUUUAUUUCCACCGCUAUUUGAGGUUGCACCUCUUUUGUUACUUAAGUUAUGUUCUGUUACCCAUUCCAUGUCCUUGGCAUCUUAGAAUGACUAAUACCGUGGGUUAAUUUUCAUGCGUUUCAGACUUUCUUCUUCGUAGUUCUUAUAGGAAAUUCGAGUUGUGCCAUACAUAAACAAAAAUCUAUAUGCUAUGUCCCUCAAAAGUAGUUCGAACAUUCUUUAAAAUUAGAAGAGGUGUGCCAUUUAGUCAAUUUUCAUGGCCUCCCGCAAAAUUAAUAACACGUUAGUCGCUUUAGACGCGUUCUUAAAUAAUUCACUUUCCUAAAUACGGGUGCACAUUUAUGUGACCAAAAUCCAAAUCUCAACGAAGUUGGAAUGUGUCAAAAUUCACGGAUGCAUUUAUGUGACAUGGUUCGAGGCAUAUUUUAACGAUGUUGCAAUUUUCUUUAAAAAAUAAUGAUAAAAGCGGUUUAAUGUCAAAAGGCACAUAAGUUCUAAAAUCAGAUAGUUUAAGCCAAAUAUGACAGUUGAGUAACCUUGCUAGAACCACGGAACCCGAGAAUGCCUAACACCUUCUCCCGGGUUAACACAAUUCCUUACCCGGAUUUCUGUUUCGCGGACUGUAAAUAGAGUCAUUAUUUUCCUCGAUUCAGGAUUCUAACCGGUGACUUGGGACACCAUAAACCUCCCAAGUGGAAAAUCUGAAAUUCUCUUUAAUAAUUGAAUCCUGUUUCGAUUGUUCUCAAAUUGGAAAAACCCCCUUAUCUACGCCCUUCGUCGGGUAGUAGUGUAAAGAAUAGGUGUGACAAUUAGUGUCCUACAUUAGAGUAAGGGAUUGAGCUAAUUGUAUUGGGAAAAUUUAGUUUGCAUAUUGGAGAUGACGCGGUAUGACAUGCCGACUGGUCAAACACUCAAAGAAUUAAGGUUAGUUCUGAGGUACGAGCAACAAUAGAUACGAGCAAGGCAAAUAGAAGAGGCACGAAUAAUCGUACAUGCAAUUCAACGCUCGUACCUAUUCAAGAUAUUUAAAACCCAAAGAUCGUGAAGAAUCAAAGGAAUGAAUCUGGCAGGAAAUAAGAGUUCUGAUAUAGUAUAUAAUGAGUAUUAAAUACUAGAAACGUUAGAGAAUAUGUAUUUAAUCUAUAUGAUUGCAUAACGUAGAUUUUAAAGUCAUUAAUUACCCAUAAUAGCCUUAUUAUGACAAAGGUAAGGCUCAUAUCCCCGAAAUAGCUAUAAAAGAGGAAGGAGCAAAUAAUUGUAAGGACACAAAACACUAUUGGAAUAUACUUUGGUUUACUUGCUUUCUGAUCAUAUUAUUCGCAAAUUUCUUUCUUUAUAUAUUUUUCUGAUUAUUAGUGACUUAUUUUCUUCUUAAAUCUAGUUUUGACUAAAAAUCUAAUUUUUGGUUAAACAUUAAUGACUUGAUAUAUGGUCUUGGUCAAUUUGAUCUUGCCUCACACGCUUACUUUUGGAAGUGAAUUAAAAGGAGGGGUUCAAAAUUUUUUUGUAGCUAAUGAGAAGUAAAUCUAUGACCUUAUGAAGGUUUUGAACCCCCUUUAUCACUAAACUACACUUUUAAAUUGUGUUAAGGAAGUUCAAAACUUAAUAUAUAGGUAAAAAAAUGAUUUUGCCAUAUAUAUAAAAUGUAAUGUUUUUUGGCGAUUGGUCCUAAUCCUAUCUUUUUCAUCUAACCAAAUAAUUAUUUUUCCAAUGAUGAAUUUCGCACCAUGGAAUAAACCAAAGAAAUAAGGACGUUUUUAAUACCGAUAGCAGCUCCAGCUGAAGCAAUUAUAUAAGCUCUGGCUCCCAUUGAUUUUGGACCUUCUAAUAUCUCGAGUUUAGAAUUCUCCACACGCAUUUUCUAUCACAAUUUUCUCUUUGAGAACACUCGCCUCGUCGAUUCUUCCUCUCUUUUCUUUCGAUCUUGUACUUUAUGUAAGCUUCAAAAGCAUAGGCUAGACGAGCGAUUCAGUGAACAUCAAGAUGAUGUUCUUCCCUCCGCGGCAUGUCAAGACUGUUAGAAUAUCCUACAUUGGUUAAAAAAAAGUUGUUAUUUUCUUAUAUUAUCUCAAACAAUAUUCAUCUCAUGAGCUAGUUUUUAGUGUUAUCACAAAGUCCAUUUCCUUUACCAUUAGUGUAAAUAAAAUUAUUAAAAGACUAGUUGUCUGUGAAAUAGUUGAUAAGUUUGUAAAAAGGUUACCUCACAUAUGAAAUAAUAUAAAAGAAUAUAAUAAUAUAUUAUUUUAAAUUAUUCAAGAAAACUAUUAUUUGGGAAAUAUUUAAAACUUUUUACAUAACUAACAUUUUAUUGGUCACUAAUAAACUUUACAGUUUAUAGACUUUUUUAUACCUCAAUAGCUAUAUCUUUCAGACACCAAACAAACUCAACCUACAGACUAUAUCUAAUGGAACAUAAAGUACUGUAGUAAACUACAAAUUUCAUUUGUAGCUCUCCUAUUAUAUAUAUACGUAGGCUAUUUCUCGAGCUUUAUUAUCUACUCCUAUGCUUCUCUGUUCAAAUAACCUCAUAUUCCUUUCAAUCUAUAGACUAUGUGUGAUCUCAGCAUACAUCAUCCGCUACAGUUGUGCUCCAUAGGAUCUUCCUUUGGCACAUUGUAUCAUCCAUUGUUCAUGUUUCUCCCCAAUUGUGUCGAACCACAUCGUACCUCUGCAUCCAUUAUAAGACCUAUAGCCAGACUGUCUUGGCAAAGUAACAUUCUACAAACAAAUAUUUCUGGUUUUAUCAUGAUGCUCGCAUAGAGAGCAUUUUGACUCCACAGUGACCCCUCAUUUGAGCAACCUAUCAGCUGUUGAGAGUCUCUCAUCUAACUAUUGCCACAUUGUAAAUAUAACUUUUGGUCUAGCCUUGUUUUGAAAUAUCACACUUCCAAGUGAUUCUAGACCUAUUUCUCAAUAGCUGGAGGUAAAUCAUUUAAAGUUUAAGACUGAUUAAUGUAGAAUUAGGUCAUAGGAUAGUGAAACUUAUAUUAUAAUAAAACAUAUAAUUUAUCUAGCAUAGGAUAUUCUCUGUAUAAUAUUCUUUCGUUCAUAAAUAUUUUUUACUUAAACAUAAAAUUCACAAUUACUCUUUUCAUAAAGUACUCUCUACUCAAAUGCAAUUUUCAUUAUUUCAUCAAUUCUUUAACUAACAGCUAUUUAAACCAAAGAAUUUUAAUUUCCGUAUUUUUGAAUUCAUACCAAUUUAUUAGGUACUUGAUUAGAUCAUAGAACAACAACAACAACUACAACAACAACCCAAUAAAAUCUCAUUAGUUGAUCUAAGGAGGAUAGUGUGUACAUAGACCUUACCUCUACUUCGAGGGAGUAGUGACAUGAUCCGAAUUUCUCACCCUCGAGAGUCGUGAUGAUGCCUACUAGUGAAAGCUAGGCAACCAGCCAUGUGUAUUGUUUACCUUUCCCUCAUUUAAUCCUUUAACAAUUAAGAACCGACAUUAUAUAAACGGCAAAAUUUAAUAAGCAGAAGAAUAAAAUAUAACCAUUUAAACAUUACCAGUACAAAUGCUUAAAUAUAGACUACCCAGAAUUGGUAUCAUAAUUUCACAGACUGUCUAGGAAUACUACAAAUAAGGGUCAGAAAGAUAAAUACAAUGUUUUCUCUAAAAUACAUAAAACAUAUAGAAUGAAAGGAUAGAAGGAGACGCCAAGGCAUGCGGACAUGUACAGGACUACCUUUGGUCUCAGAAUGAAUUGAAGGCAGCAACCCAAAGCUAGGUCUGUAUGCUCCAGUACCAGGAUUUGUACUUCGAGGGAGUAAUGUCAUGAUCCGAAUUUCUCUCCCUCGGGAGUCGUGAUAACGCCUACUAGUGAAAGCUAAGCAAGCCAACCAUGUGUAUUAUUUGCCUUUCUCUCAUUUAAUCCAUUAACAAUUAAGAACCAACAUUAUAUAAAUGGCGAAAUUUAAUAAGCAGAAGAAUAAAAUAUGACCAUUUAAACAUUACCAAUACAAAUCCUUGGAUAUAGACUACCCAGAAUUGGUAUCAUAAUUUCAAAGACUGUCUAGAAAUACUACAAAUAAGGGUCAGAAAGAUAAAUACAAUGUUGUCUCUGAAAUACAUAAAAGAUAUAGAAUGAAAGGAUAGAAGGAGACGCCAAGACCUGCGGACGUCUACAGGACUAUCUUAGUUAUCCAAAUGGACUGAAGGCACCAACCCAAAGCUAAGGUAUGUAUGCUCCAGUACCAGGAUCUGUACAAAAAAGUGCAGAGUGUAGUAUCAGCACAACCGACCCCAUUUGCUGAUAAGUGCCAAGAUAACAUCGGCGAAGUAGUGACGAUGCUAGGACCAGACUACCAAAUAACCUAUGAAGUUAAAUUAUAUACAACGGAAAAUAAAGGCAAAACUUUACAAUUAAAGAUAUAAAAGGGGAAUCAUGCUGCGGGAAACAACAAAUAGCAAUAGAAACUAAUAGUUAAAUGUAAAGAACAUCAUAACUUUAUUAUCACUAGAAAUCAGGAAAUCAAAGACAAGUGCAUGGCAUCACCCUUCGUGAUUUUACUCUCAUCCUCACCAUAAAAUAAAUAUAAUAGGCACGACAUCAUCUUUCGUGCUUUUACACUCUGCCUUACACAAACAAUAAUCACAAAGCAAGAAGGGAAAGGGAAUAAAUAAACCCCAAUAAAAUUCCCCGCAAGUGAACAAUAGUACAACAAUAAUAUUCCAGCAAGGGAAACAAUAUCAAAAGCAAUAACAUCACGGCAAGGGAGAUAACACAAAAAGUAACAACAUCCCGGGCUACAAUAUCAUGAUCCUCUUCUCUUUUUUUUCCAUUUACUUCACAACUCAAUUCACAACUUAAGCCAAUGCUCUAUAAUGUUCAAUUGCAAAUAACACUUCCACAAAUUAUUUUUUCAACUUGAGCCAACGCUCUUCAAUUUUUAAUUACCAAUAUUACUUUCACAAACCAUGUUCAAUAAAAGAAAUCAUCACACAAGGCAUGAACAACACUAAACGGAGUCACAUUAAUCAUAGCAUAAGACUCAUGGGCAUGCUUGACACCAACAUAUAGAUACUUGUCGCCAUGCCUAUACGUCGUACUCAACAACUAGCACAUAGCAAAUAUGACACAACUCCUAAUCCCUUAAGCUAAUGUUAGACUAAAUACUUACCUCGAUGCCUCGAACAUUAUUCAAUCCUCAACUAUCGGUUUAUCUCUUGAUUCCACCACCAAUUCACUUGUAUCUAGCCACAAGUUACAUAACUAUAUUAAUCAAUGCUAAAUAAAUCAAUUAUAAUGCAUGAAAAAUAGAUUUUCUAAAGUUUUUUCCCAAAAAGUCAAUACUCGACCCAUGGCCCACAUGGUCAAAAUCAGAGGUUCGAACCAAAAUCUGACUACCCAUUCACCCACGAACUCAAAUAUAUAAUUUGUUUUGAAAUCCUCCAAAUCCCAAAAAUUCGAAAAUCCUAAAUUCUACCCAAAACAUCCAAUUUCUCCCCAUGAAAACCGUUGAUUUUGAGUUGAAAUCAUGUGAAAAGAUGGAUUUGAUUAAAAGAAAUGAGUUAGAAAUGACUUACAAAUGAUUUCGAAGAGUAGUUGUCUUUGAAAAAUCGCCCCAAGGUGUUUAGGUUUUUGGAAGGUUUGAAAAAUGGAUAAAAAUUCAUAUAAGUCCCAAUUAAUUGGUCUCUGAUAUAGCAAUUGCGACCGGGAUUUAUAAUUGCGAACCCCUCAGAAAUUGUUGACUUCGAAAAAUGCAAGGAUUUUGUUAUAUUUGCAACAUUGAAGGAAUCUGGUCCCCUUUACAUUUACUAUAAAUACGUCGAAUUUGCGAUUAAGGCAGCCCAUGCCAUCUUUAUAUUUUGUGAUCAAGCUUUGCAUUUGCGGGCUCACAUCUGCGAGCCAGGCUUCGGAAUUUCGAAGCUGACUGACCUGCAAUGCACCAGCAAUUUCCUAAGUUCAAAUUUCACUUCAUGGCCUAUCAAAAACUCACCCGAUCCCUCGGGGCUCCAAACCAAAUAUGCAUGUAAGUCCAAAAAUAUUAUAUGGACUUGCUCAUGCGAUCAAAUCAUCAAAAUAACAUCAAUAACUUUGAAUUUAGUAUCAACAUCAAAGAAAAAUCUAAUAAACUCUUUAAUUCAAAUUUUAAAAAGCGAUUGUCCGAUUCACGUCAUAUCAACAUCGUUUUUUUUAUCAAAUUUUACAGGCUCAACUUAAAUAUUAUAUAAGAUAUGUAUCGGGCUCCGGAACCAAAAUAUAGGCCUGAUACCAUAAUUACAUUCAAAUUUCCAAGACCUCUAGAAAGUUGAGUUAAACAAUUUUGUUUAAAAAUUUGUUUCUCGGGUUUGAGAUCUCGAAAUUCAAUUCCGGGCACAUGUUCAAGUCCAAUAUUUUCCUAUUGGACCUUCGGGACCGUCAAGUCACAGGUCUGGGUCCCUUUACCCAAAGUAUUAUCCGAAGUCAAUAUAAAUUCAUUUUAAAAGCAAAAUCAUCAUUUUUCACAGAUUUUCACAUAAUGGAUUUUCAGGUGCAUGCCCGAACUGUACACACAAAUCGAGGUGAGACAAAAAGAAGGAUUUAAUACCUCGGAAAAUAGAAUUUAUUUCUAAAAUAAUUGAUGACCUUUUGGAUUAUUACAAGUAGAGAGACUGUUUCCGAAAGAUCCUCGACAAAAGGAGAUUAGAACAUGUUUAUAGGAAAACAAAGCUUUUCAUUUAUGUGAUAAGAUAUUUCCAAUACGGUGUUUACGACACAAAAAACAUUGAAUCUAGUAUAAUUUUAUGCUUUCUGCGACUACAAUUUCCCUUUUUUUGGCACAAAUUUUUUUUUUUUAAAAAAAAUUGGCAUGAUAUUGAACAAGGAAAUCAAUUCCAUUAAUUAUAAUUUCAUUUUCUUUACGCAACCUAAAGAGAAAUAUCUUCUUAAUCCAGUGUAGUUUCUCGAUCACUUAAACUUUCUCAUGUUUUGUUUACAAAGGAUAGUGAAUGAGGAAUGGAAUUUGCAUAUUUUCCAUUUUUGGUCAUGCAAUUAGAUACUGGGAUUUCUCUUGUUCUUUUCCUCCAAUUAAAACUUUAAAACAUUGAUCUAAACUCAACUGAAUGCUUUUUGUCCUAAGAUUAUAAAUUUUCUUAAAUAUAUAUUUAUUGAGUGUGAUAUCCAUUGUUCAUAAAGUGCUUCUUGAAUAAGAAUGAGUGAUGUGUUCCUUUUUGUAAAUUAUGAACUUAUAUUUCAAUUCUGAUGGCAUAGCAAGGGACUCGGUAUAUCAUCUCAUGUUCGUUUGUGUGAGUGGUUUGAUGUAUGGGUUGGCUAGGGACACCGAGUUUCAUUUGAACCUCUUAGUCGAAAGAUUAUAUUAAAUACUAGAUUAAAAUUACUUUAUAUAUAUAUAUAUAUAUAUAUAUAUAUAUAUUAUUUUAAUUUAAUAAAAAUAAACAAUCACACACAAAAACUACAAAUAACUAUCCAGNNNNNNNNNNNNNNNNNNNNNNNNNNNNNNNNNNNNNNNNNNNNNNNNNNNNNNNNNNNNNNNNNNNNNNNNNNNNNNNNNNNNNNNNNNNNNNNNNNNNNNNNNNNNNNNNNNNNNNNNNNNNNNNNNNNNNNNNNNNNNNNNNNNNNNNNNNNNNNNNNNNNNNNNNNNNNNNNNNNNNNNNNNNNNNNNNNNNNNNNNNNNNNNNNNNNNNNNNNNNNNNNNNNNNNNNNNNNNNNNNNNNNNNNNNNNNNNNNNNNNNNNNNNNNNNNNNNNNNNNNNNNNNNNNNNNNNNNNNNNNNNNNNNNNNNNNNNNNNNNNNNNNNNNNNNNNNNNNNNNNNNNNNNNNNNNNNNNNNNNNNNNNNNNNNNNNNNNNNNNNNNNNNNNNNNNNNNNNNNNNNNNNNNNNNNNNNNNNNNNNNNNNNNNNNNNNNNNNNNNNNNNNNNNNNNNNNNNNNNNNNNNNNNNNNNNNNNNNNNNNNNNNNNNNNNNNNNNNNNNNNNNNNNNNNNNNNNNNNNNNNNNNNNNNNNNNNNNNNNNNNNNNNNNNNNNNNNNACGUUGAAUCUUCUUGGCUUAUUAAUUGUCUGUUUACUUCUAUAUAUUUUAAAUUUUCUUCGUGAUAGCCCUAGGUCCAUGUUACGACCCGACAAGUACUCUCAUGACUUACCGCUCUAUUUUCUCCAAUUUUGCUUCUUAUUACUUUACCUAUCAGUUCUAUGUAUGAUCGGGUUGAUUGGCUUGGGUUUAGAAAGUAUUUGGUAAGGUUUGAGACACUUAACCUCUUUUGAGGAAGCUUAGGUUGGAAAGCCAACCGGAAGUUGACUCGUGUUUUAGAGGACUCGGAAUGUAAAUUCCGAUGGUACAGUUAGAUUCGGAAGGUGAUUUCUAACUUAGGAGCGUGAUCAUAAUGAGUUUUGGAGGUUUGGAGUAGAUUUAAACUUGAAUUGGCGAAGUUGAUAUUUUGGCGAUUUCGAGUUGAUAGUCGAGAUUUUGAUAUAGGAGCCGGAAUGGAGUUUUGAGGGUUGCAGUAGUUCCGUUGUGUCAUUUGGGAUGUGUGUACAAAAUUUCAGGUCAUUUGGACAUGAUGUAGUUGGAUUUUUGAUCAAUGCGGAAUUCGGAAGAUUUUGGAAACUUAGGCUUGAAUCCGAUAUAUGUUGGUUGAUUUGAUGUUAUUUGAGGUGUUUUGAAGAUUGGUACAAGUUUGAAAAGGUUAUGGGAUAUGUUUGUGCUUUUGGUUGAGGUCCCGCGGGCCUCGAGGUGAUUUCGGAUUGUUGACGAGGAGUUUGAGACUUUGUGAAGUUGCAGAUUUUUGCUGCUUUUGGUAUUUUUGCACCUGUGAAUUGGGGACCGCAUGUGCGACGCCGAUAUGCGGGAAAAGGGUCGUAGAAGCGAAAGAUGAAUAGUAGGCAGGAAACCUUAGAAGCAGUUAGAAGGACCGCAUCUGCAAUAUCGCAGAUGCGGAUAAGAGGAAGUAAGUGAAAACCCGCAGAAGCGGUUAGUUGACUGCAAAUGCAGUACCGAAAAAGUGGAAUAUUGGCCGCAGAUGCGAAAAUACCUGGCGAGAAAGUAUAAAUUGUGUCCUUCGUGAUUUUGAAGCUAUUUCACCAUUUUGACUCGGCUUUGGAGCUUUUUGGAAAAUUUUGUAGAGGGAUUUCAGGGGAACUUCACUGAGGUAAGGAAUUCGGAUCUAAAACUCAUUCAUAUACUAUUAUUUCACGGAUUAGAGCUAUAAUUAAUGGAAUUUAGGAUUUAAAAUUGGGGAAACUAGGUCUUGGUAUUGGAGAUCUAGACUUGUGGAUUUGAAGGACCAUUUGAGGCCGGAUUUCAGAACUUUUGAUAGGUAUGAACUCGUGGGGAGACAAGGAACCCGUUGAUGUAAAUUUUAUCAAAAUUCGAGAUGUGGUCCUGCGGGUCGGGUUUUGGUAAUUUUUGAAUUUGUGUCGUAUAUUGAUUAUUUUCUAUUGGGCUUCGUUUCUUAGCAUAUUUUGAUGCCGUGACUAUAAUUUUGAAGAUUCGACGCGAGUGGAGGCUGAUUCGAGGGGCAAAGAUGUCGCGAGCUAGAGAUUUGACCGGUUUGAGGUGAGUAAUGAUUGUAAAUGAUAUUCUGAAGGUAUGAAACCCUGCACUUGCACAUCAUUGUGCUAUAUUGAGGUGACACACACACUUGAUGACGAGCGUAGGGUCGUGCGCUGUUGGGGAUUGUGACUUAGUCCGUCCCGAAUGUCUAUUUCAUCGCGUAUUUGACUAAAAUCUAUUUGCUAUAAUCAUUUAUUUGGGCAGAAUGUCAUAUUUGGGCCUCGUUCCAACUAUUUGAACCCUAAGGAUUUUAUUGAUAUUUCCUCACUGUUUUGGCUUAAUACUUAAACUCUGUCAUGAUAUAUUUCACUGUUUUCAUACUCAGUCGUGUUUACUAUGUUUUACCACUUAUAUGAUCUUUUAAGUGAUUAUUGGGCUGAGAAGUCUUGUUUUACUACUUUCGAGUGGCUUGUAAGAAUUUUUUACUGAGUAAGGUCGAGGGCCUAUGUUGUAAGGGAACACUGAUCAUGAUUUGAGGCCAAGGGCCUGAGAUAAGUAUGCAACAAAGUGUCUUGAUUGAUAUGAGGCCGAAGGCCUAGUGAUGAUGCAACGAGAAGGCUUGAUAUUGUGCUUGGGUCGUAAGGGGACCCUCUAGGAGUCUGCACACCCCCAAUGAGUGCGGGUACCCAUGUGAUGUGAGAUGUAGCCCGAGGGGCUAGUAUUGUUCUGAGAUAUUGUCCGAGAGAUGGAUUUGUUGAUAUUGUGCUUGAGGGACAAACCUUUAUGUGUUUAUCUUUAUUAAUUGUCUGUCAUCAUCUAUUUAAUUCGUGGAAAGGCUUUUUAUGAAGUUUAAGUUGAAUAAAAUGACUUCUUCUCAAAAUGAGUUAUUUUUUUUACUUGUUUCACUGCUUCAUUAUAGCCGGUAAUGUGCAUCACAUGUUUUCCUACUUUUGGUCAUUAUUUAUGAUUAUUACUCACUGAGUUGGAGUACUCACUUUACUCCUUUCACCCCGUGUGCAGAUUCAAGCAUAUCUAGUCCCGCACACGAGUGUUGAUCCAUUCCAGCUUAGGCGGAUCCGAGGAGUCUCUAGGCAGUUGUUGGCGUUCGCAGCC
RNAcentral lists this long non-coding RNA (12169 nucleotides) under Nicotiana benthamiana. RNAcentral describes it as "long non-coding RNA (NBEN_LNC021314)". Lineage: Eukaryota; Viridiplantae; Streptophyta; Magnoliopsida; Solanales; Solanaceae. The record is from RNAcentral.